UGUUGCUCCUGUUAAUGUGUAUUCAGUCCCUCGUUACUCUAUCAUCACCGUACACCAAUGAUUGGUGAGAUCCAGUGAGAUAAGUGGAUUUGAAAUCUGUUCAACAGUUUUUCUAAUCUGGAGAUAAAGAAACACAGACUUAUGAAGACUAAGAAGAGGAACUCUGUUUACAUCAGUCACAGAAUGCAAGGAAGAAAAGCAGAAUACUUACCUCAAGACCUCAGAUAUCAGAAAGUUUUCUGCCCACUGCUGCAAAGAGACAUCAUCUCACAAAGACUACCCCAGACAAUGCCAAGGGGGUCAGCAGAAGCAAGGAGAAGCACUUUACUUCAGCUAGUCUGCGGGUGAAGUGGAAAGGAAAGAAGAGCCAGCAGCAAAACAAAAGAAUUGGGUGUACACUGAAGAUACUCACUGAGAUGGCAAAGACAGAGGGCCUAAAGUAAGAGAAGGGAACAAGAAGAUAUGCCUUUGUAAUAGGAAGACCCUCUUUAUUGACCAGACCAACUAUACUAAACUGAACUGAAUGAAACUUUUGGUUUAAAAGAUAAUUCCGAGUUGCAGGAAAAAUAUUUUUUAUGUUCUUAAAUGGUUCUGAGUAGAGCCCAAAGACUGCAUCCAAAAUAGGGAGCAAAUCAAGAUAGUGGAAAUAAAUG
This 653-nucleotide long non-coding RNA is filed under the name Anas platyrhynchos platyrhynchos (common mallard). RNAcentral's name for it is "lncRNA (ENSAPLG00000026804.1)". The record is from RNAcentral. Lineage: Eukaryota; Metazoa; Chordata; Aves; Anseriformes; Anatidae.